Molecule: ribosomal RNA, 426 nt
Filed under: uncultured bacterium
Lineage: Bacteria
Description: bacterial SSU rRNA
Rfam family: Bacterial small subunit ribosomal RNA
Source: RNAcentral
UGAGGAAUCUUCCACAAUGGGCGAAAGCCUGAUGGAGCAACGCCGCGUGCAGGAUGAAGGCCUUAGGGUUGUAAACUGCUUUUAUAAGUGAAGAAUAUGACGGUAACUUAUGAAUAAGCACCGGCUAACUACGUGCCAGCAGCCGCGGUCAUACGUAGGGUGCAAGCAUUAUCCGGAGUGACUGGGCGUAAAGAGUUGCGUAGGUGGUUUGUUAAGUGAAUAGUGAAAUCUGGCGGCUCAACCGUUCAGACUAUUAUUCAAACUGGCAGACUUGAGAAUGGUAGAGGUAACUGGAAUUUCUAGUGUAGGAGUGAAAUCCGUAGAUAUUAGAAGGAACACCAAUGGCGUAGGCAGGUUACUGGACCAUUUCUGACACUAAGGCACGAAAGCGUGGGGAGCGAACCGGAUUAGAUACCCCCGUAGUCC